Molecule: non-coding RNA, 482 nt
Organism: Delphinapterus leucas (beluga whale)
Lineage: Eukaryota; Metazoa; Chordata; Mammalia; Artiodactyla; Monodontidae
Source: RefSeq, a predicted model, not a curated record
UCUUCUGCCUGCGCACGGGCACCACCGGCUGGGCCUUCUGGGUACCCGGCGCGGUUAGGUCGCGCUGGUUCCGUGGAACAGCGGCUGGUGAAGGACCCGUGGCGACCUCCAUGCCCAAUACCUCCAGGCCUAGAGAGGUAAGGGUGGAUCUGCAGAGACUGAGUAUGAAGAUUUCUGGCAUGUGACUCAGUCCUCAUUGCUCCUGGCUCCCCAUUCUGCCCUCUUUGGAAUCUGCUGGCCCUGAGAGAAAUGUUUUUUGCAUCUGCUCCUAAACCCACAUGGUACUGUGCAUAUAGUUUCUAAGAUGAAAAUAUUAAUAAUCUGCAGCUUGCAUUUUUUUCUCCACACAUUGUAACAUGGACCUCUUUCUAAGGUAAUCUAUAAUGUUAUCUUCUCUUUAAAGAAGUUUUAAAAACUGGGUGUUGGGCUUCCCUGGUGGCGCAGUGGUUGAGAGUCUGCCUGCCGAUGCAGGGGACACGGGU